GAUGAACGCUGGCGGCGUGCCUAAUACAUGCAAGUCGAGCGAACGGACGAGUAGCUUGCUUUUCUGAUGUUAGCGGCGGACGUGUGAGUAACACGUGGAUAACCUACCUAUACGACUUGGCUAACUUCGGGAAACCGGAGCUAAUACCUUAUAAUAUUUUGAACCGCAUGGUUCAUGAGUGAAAGACGGUCUUGCUAUCACUUAUAGAUUGAUCCGCGCGGACUUAUCUAUUUGGUAAGGUAACGGCUUACCAAGGCAACGAUGCAUAGCAGACAUGAGAGGGUGGACGACAACACGGGAACUGAGACACGGUCAAGACUCCUAGGGGAGGAAGCAGUAGGGAAUCUUACGCAAGGGGGGAAAGCCUGACGGAGCAACGCGGCGUGAGUGAUGAAGGUGUUAGGAUGGGAAAACGCAGUUAUAAGGGAGGAACAUAUGUGUAAGUAACAGUGCACAUCUUGACGGUACCUAAACAGAAAGCCACGGCUAACUACGUG
Molecule: ribosomal RNA, 497 nt
Filed under: uncultured bacterium
Lineage: Bacteria
Description: partial 16S ribosomal RNA
Rfam family: Bacterial small subunit ribosomal RNA
Source: RNAcentral